AGGCGCAGCAACACACACACACGCCUCGCCCCGUUGACGUCGAGGGGGGAACACCCCUCAGAGCGUGCGUGCGCGCGUGCUAUUCCAAGUUCCGGUGCGCCCCCGCCCACUCCCUGAGUGCGUUGGGGGAAGCCAGGCGGAGCCCCCCCAUCCCUGCCACCAUUCCCCCAUUGCCGCACCACCCCUCACCACGACAGGGUCAAGUCCUGGAUGGCGCUGCGCAAACGCUUGCUGCGGCAGUGCGCGCGCCUGUGCCACCCGUGUGCUGGGCAGGGCGCCCGCGUGGGUCGUGUGUGUCUCCCUCGGGCCCCCGCUGCCCACCGGUGGGUGGCCCCGAGGCGGGGGGUGGGAGGGCAGAGUGUGAGGGGCAGGGGGGCCGCGCGACCAGCCGACCGGGUCGGCACACCGCCACCACACGCGUUUGACAAAUGAUAUCCCCCUCGCGUGCUCGAUGGCCCUGUCUUCGCGUGCGGGUGUGGGUGUUCACCGUCCGUGCGCGAGGGGGGCGCCAGCUGGACUUUGACGGUUGCCGUUUGCGGACGCCCCGUCUGCGCUUUUCCUCUGCGUGCCUGUGGCACAACGCGGCCGAAAGCGACCUCCUCGGCCCCCGCGUUUCCCUGAACUCCGCUUGCCGGGUGCGGCUUGGGCGCCGCGAGGGGCGCGCGGGUGCGGCCUGCCACCCCCACCCCGCCAGCGGGCUGCGCCAACCCAACCACCAGCCCCCCGCCGAACGCAAAGCGAAAAAACACGCAGCCCACCCACACAGCGAAGCGGGAAGCCCACAGCCGACGACCCCACAGGGAAAACCCACCCGCGGGUUUUUCGAAAAAAACAGCCCCGGCCGCCCGGGCGGCACACAAAGGGGGCCCAACCCCCCGCCGCGCAGGGCCGCCCAAACCCCCUCACCCAAAACCAACACGCCGACCACACCGAAAAGCCAGGCAACCUAGGCACCCACCCCAUUUUGAACCCCACCAAGCCGCACCGCGGAUGCGCAGCCACCCCCGCAAAGAAAACCCUGAACGCCUGCGUUGUUGCCCGGGCCUCGCGGAAAAACGCCGUCACCACGGCAUUGCCGACGCCAGCGCCGAAAGCCACCCCCGCGGCCCCCCUCCCCCGGUUCGUCGGCGAGCCGUUUGGACUGCCCAAAACAGCCCCGCCCCCAUCGCCUGCGCAAACAACCCAUAGCGCCCCCCUUUCCAUCGUUUCUAGAUUAUCGAUCACCCCGGCUUCCCACCCCGACCAGUCAGAUGGGGAGUGGUUGCGGGCGGAAAAAGCACGCGGGCCAUCGGAAAGAAGCCCCCGCGCACAAGCGGUAGAGCCCGCCGAUGGAGCGCCAAAAGGUCACGGAGGGCCCCCCCCCCGCAGCAGCCUUCGCAGCGAUCACCCCCAAACGAAAACAGCACGGACACGCUGGAAACAUACGGAAAACAAACCGAAACGAAGCCAAGAUGAAAACACGAAAGGAAAACAAGCCAAUCCGAGAAGAGCACGCACCUCGUGGCAAAAGGUUUCCGCGUGCAGACAGCCAGCGCCCGUAACUCCGUUUCCCUCUGAUGUUUCACAGCCCUGUGGGUGGCGAAAAAAGACCAGAGAUCGCCCACAACCCGCUUGGAUUUUCGCAGGCUUUCAAGCAGAAGCCAACCAGAAAAUCACCAUGCCCCUUCCCAGGGUCCAAGAAACGGCCGCGACGCGCGGACCCAUGACCCAGCGCCACCCACCCCGGAACCCCAACAACCCCCUCUGGCCACCCCACCCUUUACCCGCGCAACAUGGAAGCCACAACGCACACGUCUCUCCCAAGAAGCCCCCCCCCCACACACACACACACACCGUUUUCCCAACCCAGACGCAAGCCCAAGGAAAAGAAACCCACAAAUCUUCAGACCACACGCCCACGAGGAUUUAUACGCCCCUGCCCCCACGCUAAGCGCAGGAGGGCGGAAAGCGUGUAGAUCACCUUUGCGGGCCAUGCGUUUUUGCCAGCGCCCACACCCAUGUGAUAUUUUCAUUCGAAUUCUGGCGUGGACAGGGCAUUCGGCCUGGCACGUUUUCUAUCCCUCUCUUCUUUACCUCCCCCUUUGGUAACUUUCCCACCCAUCGCCGCGCACACUGGGCAG
This 2120-nucleotide unclassified non-coding RNA is filed under the name Leishmania donovani. RNAcentral's name for it is "gene:unknown". The record is from RNAcentral. Lineage: Eukaryota; Euglenozoa; Kinetoplastea; Trypanosomatida; Trypanosomatidae.